GAAUCUUGGGCAAUGGGCGCAAGCCUGACCCAGCCAUGCCGCGUGUGUGAAGAAGGCCUUCGGGUUGUAAAGCUCUUUUACUGGGGAUGAUAAUGACAGUACCCAGAGAAUAAGCUCCGGCUAACUCCGUGCCAGCAGCCGCGGUAAUACGGAGGGAGCUAGCGUUGUUCGGAAUUACUGGGCGUAAAGCGCACGUAGGCGGCGAUUCAAGUCAGAGGUGAAAGCCCGGGGCUCAACCCCGGAACUGCCUUUGAAACUAGAUUGCUAGAAUCCUGGAGAGGCGAGUGGAAUUCCGAGUGUAGAGGUGAAAUUCGUAGAUAUUCGGAAGAACACCAGUGGCGAAGGCGACUCGCUGGACAGGUAUUGACGCUGAGGUGCGAAAGCGUGGGGAGCAAACAGG
RNAcentral lists this ribosomal RNA (400 nucleotides) under uncultured bacterium. RNAcentral's name for it is "bacterial SSU rRNA". It matches the Rfam family "Bacterial small subunit ribosomal RNA", at positions 359 to 776 of the family's 1533-position model. The record is from RNAcentral.